UACGAAGGGGGCUAGCGUUGUUCGGAAUCACUGGGCGUAAAGCGCACGCAGGCGGAUUGUUAAGUCGGGGGUGAAAUCCUGGAGCUCAACUCCAGAACUGCCUUCGAUACUGGCGAUCUCGAGUUCGGGAGAGGUGAGUGGAACUGCGAGUGUAGAGGUGAAAUUCGUAGAUAUUCGCAAGAACACCAGUGGCGAAGGCGGCUCACUGGCCCGAUACUGACGCUGAGGUGCGAAAGCGUGGGGAGCAAACAGG
RNAcentral lists this ribosomal RNA (253 nucleotides) under uncultured bacterium. RNAcentral's name for it is "partial 16S ribosomal RNA". It matches the Rfam family "Bacterial small subunit ribosomal RNA", at positions 524 to 776 of the family's 1533-position model. The record is from RNAcentral.